Molecule: long non-coding RNA, 403 nt
Filed under: Homo sapiens (human)
Lineage: Eukaryota; Metazoa; Chordata; Mammalia; Primates; Hominidae
Description: HSALNT0150753
Source: RNAcentral
CGCUGAAGGUCUGUAAGUGCCUCGAGGUGAGGCUUCUCUAACUUCCCAGUCUCCUUAUUGAUUGUGAUCGGAGGUGGCAGAGUCUGAGCUUGCCUGAGGUACCUGACCAGCCAAGGAAGGGAUUCCUGGGGUUUGUCCCUUCUUCGCACAUACUUGCUUCUCCUUUGACCUUCUCCGACAUGUUUUGACUCAUCACAGAAGACCUCACCAGAAGCCAAGCAGAUGUAGGAGCCAUGCUUCUUUCACAGCCUACAGAACGGUAAGAAUUUAAUAAUAAUGGAGGAGUAAGAGGAUGGACUGAGAAAGAAAGAGAAAAGAAAAAAGGAAGAGAGCCAGAGGAAGAAAAGAGAAGGGAGGAAGGAAGGAAAUGAAGACAGUCUGCACCCGCAUUUGGUUGCUGUCC